GAUGAACGCUAGCGGCAGGCCUAACACAUGCAAGUCGAGGGGUAGAGUUAGCUUGCUAACUUGAGACCGGCGCACGGGUGCGUAACGCGUAUGCAAUCUACCUUAUACAGGGGAAUAGCCCAGAGAAAUUUGGAUUAAUGCCCCAUAGUAUUAUUGAAUGGCAUCAUUUGAUAAUUAAAGUUCCAACGGUAUAAGAUGAGCAUGCGUCCCAUUAGUUAGUUGGUAAGGUAACGGCUUACCAAGACUAUGAUGGGUAGGGGUCCUGAGAGGGAGAUCCCCCACACUGGUACUGAGACACGGACCAGACUCCUACGGGAGGCAGCAGUGAGGAAUAUUGGACAAUGGGCGCAAGCCUGAUCCAGCCAUGCCGCGUGCAGGAAGACGGUCCUAUGGAUUGUAAACUGCUUUUAUACAGGAAGAAACACCUCUACGUGUAGAGGCUUGACGGUACUGUAAGAAUAAGGAUCGGCUAACUCCGUG
RNAcentral lists this ribosomal RNA (480 nucleotides) under uncultured bacterium. RNAcentral's name for it is "bacterial SSU rRNA". It matches the Rfam family "Bacterial small subunit ribosomal RNA", at positions 28 to 507 of the family's 1533-position model. The record is from RNAcentral.